This 2462-nucleotide ribosomal RNA is filed under the name human gut metagenome. Its description in RNAcentral is "bacterial LSU rRNA". It matches the Rfam family "Bacterial large subunit ribosomal RNA", at positions 14 to 2519 of the family's 2925-position model. The record is from RNAcentral.
AGUGCAUGUGGCGGAUGCCUUGGCGAUCACAGGCGAAGAAAGACGCGGCAGCCUGCGAAAAGCUGCGGGGAGCUGGCAAACGAGCUUUGAUCCGCAGAUAUCUGAAUGGGGGAACCCACACCGCAAGGUGUAUCCGUAGCUGAAUACAUAGGUUACGGAGGCGAACGAGGAGAACUGAAACAUCUAAGUAUCCUCAGGAAAAGAAAUCAACCGAGAUUCCGGCAGUAGCGGCGAGCGAACCCGGAGGAGCCCAGCUUUUGAUAGUACGAACUUUAGCCGAAAGGUCCUGGAAAGGCCUGCUAUAGUGGGUGAUAGCCCCGUAGGCGAAAGAGUUGGUACGGUACUAAGGAAGCGAGAAGUAGAGCGGGACACGUGGAAUCCUGUUCGAAGACGGGGGGACCAUCCUCCAAGGCUAAAUACUCGUGAUCGACCGAUAGUGAACCAGUACCGUGAGGGAAAGGCGAAAAGAACCCCGGGAGGGGAGUGAAAUAGAACCUGAAACCGCAUGCAUACAAACAGUAGGAGCCUCGUCAGAGGUGACUGCGUACCUUUUGCAUAAUGGGUCAGCGACUUACAUUCUGUGGCGAGCUUAACCGAAUAGGGGAGGCGCAGCGAAAGCGAGUUCGAAAUGAGCGUCCAGUCGCAGGGUGUAGACCCGAAACCAGAUGAGCUAUCCAUGGCCAGGUUGAAGGUGUGGUAACACACACUGGAGGACCGAACCGACUAGUGUUGCAAAAUUAGCGGAUGAGCUGUGGAUAGGGGUGAAAGGCCAAACAAAUCUGGAGAUAGCUGGUUCUCCCCGAAAACUAUUGAGGUAGUGCCUCGUGUGUCGCUCCAGGGGGUAGAGCACUGUUUUGGCUAGGGGGACAUGGAGUCUUACCAAACCAAGGCAAACUCCGAAUACCUGGAAGCGUAAGCACGGGAGACAGAGCACCGGGUGCUAACGUCCGGACUCAAAAGGGAAACAACCCAGACCGCCGGCUAAGGUCCCAAAUAACAGCUAAGUGGAAAACGAAGUGGAAAGGCCGUGACAACCAGGAAGUUGGCUUAGAAGCAGCCAUCCUUCAAAGAAAGCGUAAUAGCUCACUGGUCGAGUCCUUCUGCGCGGAAGAUGUAACGGGGCUAAGCUGUUAACCGAAGCCGCGGAUGCGCUGGUUAUCCAGUGCGUGGUAGGGGAGCGUUCUGUAAGUCUGCGAAGGCGGUUCGAGAGGACUGCUGGAGAUAUCAGAAGUGCGAAUGCUGACAUGAGUAACGUUAAAGCAGGUGAAAAGCCUGCUCGCCGUAAGCCCAAGGAUUCCUGCUCUACGUUCAUCGGAGCAGGGUGAGUCGGCUCCUAAGGUCAGGCCGAAAGGCGUAGCCGAUGGGAAUCAGGUUAAUAUUCCUGAACCUGCGUCAGAUGCGAUGGGGGGACGGAGCAUGGAAGAUCAUCCGGGUGUUGGAAGUCCCGGUUGUUUAGCGUAGGAGGUCUGCAGGCAAAUCCGCAGACGCAUCUCCAAGGCAAAGACACGUGCCGCUACGGCGGCGAAGUGAUCGGAAGUGCUUCCAAGAAAAGCCUCUAAGCACCAGUCUGACGCGGACCGUACCGCAAACCGACACUGGUGGGCGAGCUGAAUAUGCUCAGGCGCUUGAGAGAACUCGGGAGAAGGAACUCGGCAAAUUGACACCGUAACUUCGGAAGAAGGUGUGCCGUAGUACCGUGAGAGGAGAGACACCUUGAGCGGGAAACGGUCUCAGAGAAUAGGUGGCUGCGACUGUUUAUUAAAAACACAGCACUCUGCAAAGUCGAAAGACGACGUAUAGGGUGUGAUGCCUGCCCGGUGCUGGAAGAUUAAUUGAUGGGGUGAGAGCCCUUGAUCGAAGUCCCAGUAAACGGCGGCCGUAACUAUAACGGUCCUAAGGUAGCGAAAUUCCUUGUCGGGUAAGUUCCGACCUGCACGAAUGGCAUAACGAUGGCCACACUGUCUCCUCCCGAGACUCAGUGAAGUUGAAAUGUUUGUGAUGAUGCAAUCUACCCGCGGCUAGACGGAAAGACCCCAUGAACCUUUACUGCAGCUUUGCAUUGAACUGUGAACCGAUUUGUGUAGGAUAGGUGGGAGGCAGAGAAGAGGCCACGCCAGUGGUCUUGGAGCCGACCUUGAAAUACCACCCUGAUUUGUUUGCGGUUCUAACCACGGACAGUGAUCCUGUCUUGGGACCGUGCAUGGUAGGCAGUUUGACUGGGGCGGUCUCCUCCUAAAGGGUAACGGAGGAGUACGAAGGUACGCUAGGUACGGUCGGAAAUCGUGCUGAUAGUGCAAUGGCAAAAGCGUGCUUGACUGCGAGAGCAACAACUCGAGCAGAUGCGAAAGCAGGUCAUAGUGAUCCGGUGGCUCUGAAUGGAAGGGCCAUCGCUCAACGGAUAAAAGGUACUCUGGGGAUAACAGGCUGAUACCGCCCAAGAGUUCAUAUCGACGGCGGUGUUU